This 253-nucleotide ribosomal RNA is filed under the name uncultured bacterium. Its description in RNAcentral is "partial 16S ribosomal RNA". It matches the Rfam family "Bacterial small subunit ribosomal RNA", at positions 524 to 776 of the family's 1533-position model. The record is from RNAcentral.
UACGAAGGGGGCUAGCGUUGCUCGGAAUCACUGGGCGUAAAGGGUGCGUAGGCGGGUCUUUAAGUCAGGGGUGAAAUCCUGGAGCUCAACUCCAGAACUGCCUUUGAUACUGAAGAUCUUGAGUUCGGGAGAGGUGAGUGGAACUGCGAGUGUAGAGGUGAAAUUCGUAGAUAUUAGGAAGAACACCAGUGGCGAAGGCGGCUCACUGGCCCGGUUCUGACGCUGAGGCGCGAAAGCGUGGGGAGCAAACGGG